ACAGCGCCAGCGUAACUGAACCUUUUGCACGUUUUCUUCGUUACCACCAACUGAUUGUUUAACUGAAAUCACGUGACGAAGCCAAACUGUCGUUUUAUACUUCACACCUCUGCACUUUCAACAAUUUCAUAAGGCUCCUAUCUCAUGUUUCCAUCACCCAUCAGCGUGCUUGUGCACUCUGUUACUCCAAACGACGCCGUUCCCUCACACCCUCGGAGCUCGGACCAUGGCGGCCAUUGACGACGGAGGCAAGGCGGAGAAAUUCAUCAGUGGGAGAGAAGAAUUCGGCAACUCAUCCAACACGUUCAGCGCGAUUCUAGCGAUGGCGCUGUGGCUGGGAGCCAUUCACUUCAACAUUGCCCUCAUCCUCUUCGCCCUCUUCUUCCUUCCUCUCCCCAAAUUACUGUUGGUUUUUGGUUUUCUGUUUGUGUUUGCAGUGCUUCCUAUCGACGAGAAGAGCAGAUUUGGCCGAACAUUGUCGAGGUUCAUUUGCAAACACGCUUGCAAUUAUUUUCCCAUCACGCUUCACGUAGAGGAUAUGAACGCCUUUGAUCCGAACCGUGCUUAUGUUUUUGGUUAUGAACCACAUUCGGUUUUGCCAAUUGGCAUUGUGGCACUAGCUGACCACACUGGUUUCAUGCCUCUUCCAAAAGUUAGAGUUCUUGCUAGCAGCACGGUGUUCUACACACCAUUUUUGAGACACAUAUGGACAUGGUUGGGUCUUACACCAGCAACAAAGAAAAACUUUAUCUCCUUGCUAGCGUCUGGCCAUAGUUGCAUUUUAACACCUGGUGGAGUGCAAGAGACAUUCCUCAUGCAACAUGGCAUUGAGAUUGUUUUCCUUAAGGCACGAAGAGGAUUUGUCCGCAUAUCAAUGGUGAAAGGCCUACCUUUGGUUCCAGUUUUCUGCUUCGGUCAGUCAAAUGUCUAUAAGUGGUGGAAACCAGGUGGGAAGUUCUUCCUGAAAGUUGCAAGAGCUAUCAAAUUCACCCCAAUAUGUUUUUGGGGAAUUUUCGGAUCUCCAUUACCGUUCAGAUACCCAAUGCAUGUGGUGGUGGGAAGACCAAUUGAGCUCACCAAAAACCCCAACCCAACCACCGAGGAGAAGUUGGAGUAGUUAAACAAAACACUUGCGUCUGGUUUGAUCGAUAAGUCUUAUCCUUGGCUAGAGUGUUCGAGUACGAUGCAAUCUCUCCCCCAUAUGACAAACUACGAUCUUCCUUCUCAGUAGGACCACCCGCAUUUUCUGAUACAAAUAUUCUGGGUUGCCAAGAUACAUAGUAAGUUUGUGGAAGCACUUCAAGAUCUCUUUGAAAGGCACAAAGCUCCUGCUGGCUAUCCAAACCUUGAAUUAAAAAUUGUUUGAACUAGGCCUUAAUAUUGUACCAUAUUUUCAAUGGUUUUUUAUUUAUUAUUUUUUUGGGAUGGAGUUGGUAAAUGUAAGUUAGGCUAUAAAUUGCUAGUAAUACGAACAACUACCAUCUUGGGAAUAAAAUUGAUGAAUAAAGGGAAAUGAGGGAGUAGCUAUCUUUUCAAUAUUGCAUAUUAACUGGUUGUAAACCGCAUAACUGCCUAUUUAUAGCUUAUAAAUAGAAAUAGAGCUCAAAUUCUGUAUGUAGAUUGUAACAAACUAUUGUAUUCUUUGUAUAUCAAUAACAUUUUUCGGAUUUCUGAA
Vigna angularis (adzuki bean) is the source of this 1675-nucleotide RNA transcript. It is a transcript of the gene named diacylglycerol O-acyltransferase 2D, with no coding region annotated. NCBI's taxonomy places the organism in Eukaryota, Viridiplantae, Streptophyta, Magnoliopsida, Fabales, Fabaceae. The record is from RefSeq and is a predicted model, not a curated record. The transcript is spliced from 10 exons.